AGAGGUUACCGGAAUACCUAGUGUAGUGGUGAAAUACGUAGAUAUUAGGUGGAACCACCGGAGGCGAAGGCGGGUAACUGGCCAAACACUGACACUGAGGCCCGAAAGCGUGGGGAUCAAACAGGAUUAGAUACCCUGGUAGUCCACGCCGUAAACGAUGGAUACUUGCUGUUGGAGGUAUUGACCCCUUCAGUGGCGAAGCUAACGCGUUAAGUAUCCCGCCUGGGGAGUACGGUCGCAAGAUUAAAACUCAAAGAAAUUGACGGGGGCCCGCACAAGCGGUGGAGAAUGUGGUUUAAUUCGAUGCAACGCGCAAAACCUUACCUAGGCUUGACAUGGACUGGAAGACUGGCAGAAAUGUCGACGCCCGCAAGGGUCGGCUCACAGGUGCUGCAUGGCUGUCGUCAGCUCGUGUCGUGAGAUGCUGGGUUAAGUCCCGCAACGAGCGCAACCCUUACCUUUAGUUGCCAGCAUUUAGUUGGGCACUCUAGAGGGACUGCCUACGUUAAGUAGGAGGAAGGUGGGGAUGACGUCAAGUCCUCAUGGCCCUUAUGUCUAGGGCUACACACGUUCUCCAAUGGAAGUCACAAUGAGAUGCCAAGUCGCAGGAUGGAGCCAAUCUCAUAAAAGCUUUCUAAGUUCGGAUUGCAGUCUGCAACUCGACUGCAUGAAGGUGGAAUCGCUAGUAAUCGCGGAUCAGCAUGCCGCGGNANAAUACGUUCCCGGGCCUUGUACACACC
This 740-nucleotide ribosomal RNA is filed under the name uncultured bacterium. Its description in RNAcentral is "bacterial SSU rRNA". It matches the Rfam family "Bacterial small subunit ribosomal RNA", at positions 653 to 1391 of the family's 1533-position model. The record is from RNAcentral.